This 407-nucleotide ribosomal RNA is filed under the name uncultured bacterium. RNAcentral's name for it is "partial 16S ribosomal RNA". It matches the Rfam family "Bacterial small subunit ribosomal RNA", at positions 30 to 526 of the family's 1533-position model. The record is from RNAcentral.
AUUGAACGCUGGCGGCAGGCCUAACACAUGCAAGUCGAGCGGAGCGGCGGACGGGUGAGUAAUGCCUAGGAAUCUGCCUGGUAGUGGGGGAUAACGUCCGGAAACGGGCGCUAAUACCGCAUACUAUCAGAUUACCCUUGGUCGGUUUAGCGAGUGGGGGGGUAAAAGGCCUACCAAGGCGACGAUCCUUAACUGGUCUGAGAGGAGGAUCAGUCAAACUGGAACUGAGACACGGUCAAGACUCCUACGGGAGGCAGCAGUGGGGAAUAUUGGACAAUGGGCGAAAGCCUGAGCCAGCCAUGCCGCGUGUGUGAAGAAGGUCGUCGGAGUGUAAAGCACUUUAAGUUGGGAGGCGUUACCAACAGAAUAAGCACCGGCUAACUUCGUGCCAGCAGCCGCGGUAAUAC